This 258-nucleotide ribosomal RNA is filed under the name uncultured bacterium. Its description in RNAcentral is "partial small subunit ribosomal RNA". It matches the Rfam family "Bacterial small subunit ribosomal RNA", at positions 26 to 284 of the family's 1533-position model. The record is from RNAcentral.
AGGACGAACGCUGGCGGCGUGCUUAACACAUGCAAGUCGAACGGAAAGGCCCUUUCGGGGGUACUCGAGUGGCGAACGGGUGAGUAACACGUGGGUGAUCUGCCCUGCACUUCGGGAUAAGCUUGGGAAACUGGGUCUAAUACCGGAUAGGACUACGAAUCGCAUGGUUUGUGGUGGAAAGCUUUUGCGGUGUGGGAUGGGCCCGCGGCCUAUCAGGCUUGUUGGUGGGGUGAUGGCCUACCGAAGGCGACGACGGGU